RNAcentral lists this ribosomal RNA (238 nucleotides) under uncultured bacterium. Its description in RNAcentral is "partial 16S ribosomal RNA". It matches the Rfam family "Bacterial small subunit ribosomal RNA", at positions 93 to 334 of the family's 1533-position model. The record is from RNAcentral.
UAGUGGCGAACGGGUGAGUAAUAUAUCGGAACGUACCUUGUAAUGGGGGAUAACUAGUCGAAAGAUUAGCUAAUACCGCAUACGCCCUGAGGGGGAAAGUAGGGGAUCUUCGGACCUUACGUUAUAAGAGCGGCCGAUAUCUGAUUAGCUAGUUGGUGGGGUAAUGGCCUACCAAGGCGACGAUCAGUAGCUGGUCUGAGAGGACGACCAGCCACACUGGAACUGAGACACGGUCCAG